This 109-nucleotide ribosomal RNA is filed under the name Pteropus alecto (black flying fox). Lineage: Eukaryota; Metazoa; Chordata; Mammalia; Chiroptera; Pteropodidae. The record is from RNAcentral.
GUCUACGACCAUGCCACUCUGAACAAGCCCGAUCUCAGAAGCUAAGCAGGGUCGGGCCUGGUUAGUACUUGGAUGGGAGACCACCUAGGAUGAACAGGUGCUGUAGGCA